GGGAGUGCUUCCAUAGGAAGAAUCUGGAGACAGGUGCUGCAUGGCUGUCGUCAGCUCGUGUCGGUGACGAUGUUGGGUUAAGUCCCGCAACGAGCGCAACCCUUGCCUUUAGUUGCCAGCAGUUCGGCUGGGCACUCUAAAGGGACUGCCGGUGUUAAACCGGAGGAAGGUGGGGAUGACGUCAAGUCCUCAUGGCCUUUAUGACCAGGGCUACACACGUACUACAAUGGCCGAUACAAAGGGCAGCGACAUCGCGAGGUGAAGCCAAUCCCAUAAAAUCGGUCUCAGUCCGGAUUGGAGUCUGCAACUCGACUCCAUGAAGUUGGAAUCGCUAGUAAUCGUGGAUCAGCAUGCCACGGUGAAUACGUUCCCGGGCCUU
Molecule: ribosomal RNA, 379 nt
Filed under: uncultured Desulfobulbus sp.
Lineage: Bacteria; Pseudomonadati; Thermodesulfobacteriota; Desulfobulbia; Desulfobulbales; Desulfobulbaceae
Description: bacterial SSU rRNA
Rfam family: Bacterial small subunit ribosomal RNA
Source: RNAcentral